AGUGAACGCUGGCGGUAGGCCUAACACAUGCAAGUCGAACGGCAGCACAGUAAGAGCUUGCUCUUACGGGUGGCGAGUGGCGGACGGGUGAGGAAUACAUCGGAAUCUACUUUUUCGUGGGGGAUAACGUAGGGAAACUUACGCUAAUACCGCAUACGACCUACGGGUGAAAGCAGGGGAUCUUCGGACCUUGCGCGAUUGAAUGAGCCGAUGUCGGAUUAGCUAGUUGGCGGGGUAAAGGCCCACCAAGGCGACGAUCCGUAGCUGGUCUGAGAGGAUGAUCAGCCACACUGGAACUGAGACACGGUCCAGACUCCUACGGGAGGCAGCAGUGGGGAAUAUUGGACAAUGGGCGCAAGCCUGAUCCAGCCAUACCGCGUGGGUGAAGAAGGCCUUCGGGUUGUAAAGCCCUUUUGUUGGGAAAGAAAAGCAGCAGGUUAAUACCACGCUGUUCUGACGGUACCCAAUGAAUAAGCACCGGCUAACUUCGUG
Molecule: ribosomal RNA, 492 nt
Filed under: uncultured bacterium
Lineage: Bacteria
Description: partial 16S ribosomal RNA
Rfam family: Bacterial small subunit ribosomal RNA
Source: RNAcentral